Molecule: ribosomal RNA, 253 nt
Filed under: uncultured bacterium
Lineage: Bacteria
Description: partial 16S ribosomal RNA
Rfam family: Bacterial small subunit ribosomal RNA
Source: RNAcentral
UACGAAGGGGGCUAGCGUUGUUCGGAAUUACUGGGCGUAAAGCGCGCGUAGGCGGUGAUUUAUGUCAGAGGUGAAAUCCCGGGGCUCAACUCCGGAAUUGCCUUUGAAACGGGAUCGCUAGAGUUCGAGAGAGGAUGGCGGAAUUCCUAGUGUAGAGGUGAAAUUCGUAGAUAUUAGGAAGAACACCGGUGGCGAAGGCGGCCAUCUGGGUCGGUACUGACGCUCAGGCGCGAAAGCGUGGGGAGCAAACAGG